ACGAACGCUGGCGGCGUGCCUAAUACAUGCAAGUCGAACGGUCUUCCUAUGGAAGCUUGCUUCCACUGAGAAGAUAGUGGCGAACGGGUGAGUAACACGUGGGUAACCUGCCCAUAAGAGGGGGAUAACAUCCGGAAACGGGUGCUAAUACCGCAUAGUUUUCUUGAUCGCAUGAUUGAGAAAGGAAAGACGGCCUUUGUGCUGUCGCUUAUGGAUGGACCCGCGGCGUAUUAGUUAGUUGGUGAGGUAACGGCUCACCAAGACGAUGAUACGUAGCCGACCUGAGAGGGUGAUCGGCCACAUUGGGACUGAGACACGGCCCAAACUCCUACGGGAGGCAGCAGUAGGGAAUCUUCCGCAAUGGACGAAAGUCUGACGGAGCAACGCCGCGUGAGUGAAGAAAAGGGUUUUCGGAUCGUAAAACUCUGUUGUCAGAGAAGAACAAGUUGGAGAGUAACUGCUCCAGCCUUGACGGUAUCUGACCAGAAAGCCACGGCUAACUACGUGCCAGCCGCAGC
RNAcentral lists this ribosomal RNA (518 nucleotides) under uncultured bacterium. RNAcentral's name for it is "bacterial SSU rRNA". It matches the Rfam family "Bacterial small subunit ribosomal RNA", at positions 29 to 518 of the family's 1533-position model. The record is from RNAcentral.